GGCCACCAGUGAUGUCUCCUGUACACCCUGACUUCCUUCCCUCACGGAGUUGCUACCUUCCCCACUUCCCAGCCCAGCACACCAGAACAGAAAGUACAGUGAAAGUUCAGGUUCCAAGAUGUGGUCUGCAUGUGUGCAGACAUCCUUAGUGUGACUGGACAAUCGGACCACUACUGAGAAUAAGUGAGGACAUCAAAACUCCUGGAUUCCAGAAUAAUUUUGCUGCAAGGCAGAAGGGGAGCAAGAGAAGCUGCUUUGUGGAAGAAGAAAGCUGAGAGAAAUUAAUGGGAGACAUUAAUGGAAAUUAAGUCAAGGCACCCUGGAUUACUCCAAGAGAUAGAGAUGAAAAAUGGCAUGGCCUUGCCCCCACACAAAUGACACAACCCGUCAAUCAGAUUCGCAGUAUUGCCUUAAGAAACCCAUUUCGGCAUGUGCUCCCUGCCUGGGUCAGUGUAUGAUGGAUUCUCCCUGAUCUGUAAUAAGAUGGGGAUGGUGAUCUGCCUUUCAGGGUUCUUGUCAGUGAGCUCUGAUAAAGAUUAUGCAGUCCCCUGCACAUCAAAAGUGCCAUAUUAAUGAGAUCAUAGUAUCGACUUUGUGCAGUGAUGAGACAUACGGUUCUGAGGCUGCUGAGCAAUGUGAAAGGAAGAAUGGCUCUUUGCCUUUCACAAGAAAGACUAAAUCGCCCAGUAUUUGUCUCACAUCUUUGAUCCUGCGGGGAUAACAGAGUAAGUGACCAAUUGCAAGUGUGAUUCUCAAUUAAAGGUGUGAGAGAGAUUCACUGGGAGCUAAUGGCGCCCUUAUCCCACUUAUUAGACUCUUCAGAGUACACAAACACACUCAUACAUAAACAUCUCACUAGGGGACAGGCCAGACUGACAGCUAUUUCUGAAAGUCAGAGAUGCAUCGCUAGAGGGGAAGCUCCUUUUCUGAAGAAUUAGCAUUGCCCAGAGAUGGAACCUAAUGAGAACAGUGGGAAACCCAUGGUGAUAAUGAACAGACCGAGCUGCACAGGGCUCCCCUGAAGCAUGAGAAAGCCCACCGGUUAUUUUAUUGGAUUUGAGAGAGACCCUUGCUUUUGUUUACUAAUGUGUUUUGAUUACUUGGUAUCUGUCCAGAAUCGAGUGGGGAUUCAUCACUAGCAGUGGAAGAGAUUAAACGUGUCAUGCUGUUGGCAA
This is a long non-coding RNA of Hemicordylus capensis (graceful crag lizard), 1175 nucleotides long. RefSeq lists it as uncharacterized. Lineage: Eukaryota; Metazoa; Chordata; Lepidosauria; Squamata; Cordylidae. The record is from RefSeq and is a predicted model, not a curated record. The transcript is spliced from 2 exons.